GGAGGGCGGGGCUGGUUUUAACGGAGGUAAGAAUUAACAAGCUUAUACCCGCCAAACGUGAAGUGAUAAAAAAAUGAGGCUUGGUUUAGAAUAACUAGAAUACACAGCCGAACAAGUCCUAACUUGUCAGUUAUCGAUCGGCCGACGCUAGUUAUAGUUGUGCGUAAUAACUUCGAAUUGACAGAAUGAGAAAUUACAAAAGGAAGAGUACAAGGGGGUCUACAUCUCAAGAAGUAUUUGAGCUGGCAGCUGAAGAAGUUCUGGUAAAUAACAGGAAAUAUAGAGAUGUUGCUACUGAAUACGAUAUUUGUCACGUAACACUAUUUAAAUACGUAAAGAAAAAAAGGAGGGAACUUCUGUUGCUGUGGGUUAUAAAAAAACCGUCUAGUUUAUAAUUCUGAGCAAGAAACAAUGAUAGCUAAUUAUUUAGUCAAAUGUUCUAAUAUCUAUUUUGGAUUGCUACCAGACGUCAAAAAAUUAGCUUACGAGCUUGCCAUUCGAUACAAGAUAGAUAAUAUUCCAGAAUCUUGGAAAAGAGACGGAAAGGCUGGCAAGUUUAAGUACAAAUUAGAUUAAGACUGAUUAACUAGUUACCUUAUUAAUAUACCUAAAGAUUGUCUCGUACUAAAAAGUAUUAACACUGUGACAUUUGUUGAUGAAUAUCAAGUAGAUUUAAAAUACUGUAUUGCUUAAGGUAACUCAUAGAGGUUUUUUAAGACUGAUACUAAAAAGUUUAUGUGACUUUUAUUUAAUUAUUAUGUUUAAACUAUUUAAAAAAAUGUUCGUAACAGAUUUAUAAGAUAAUACUAUUUUUUCUACUCCAUUAAGAACUUAAAGACUGUUGAACCUAAAAAGUUUAAGUUUAAACUAUGUGUUUAAUUUUUUUUAGGCUUAAAAUUAUUCAAACUGUAGCAAUGAUUAUUAUUAAGUGUAGAUUUAAAAGAAUUUGUUAUAUUCUUUCAGUUCCUAUCAUAAAAAGUACUAAUUUGUUUAACAUUGAAGGCAAUAAAACAUUUUCAUUAAUU
Pieris napi is the source of this 1025-nucleotide long non-coding RNA. RefSeq lists it as uncharacterized. The record is from RefSeq and is a predicted model, not a curated record. NCBI's taxonomy places the organism in Eukaryota, Metazoa, Arthropoda, Insecta, Lepidoptera, Pieridae. The transcript is spliced from 2 exons.